UUCAUAAACCGGCAUGUAGAAGCAAAAAGGGUUUAGCGGCGACUGCAUUGUUGCCGCUUUCCCGUGCCCACUGAAAGUGGCCGGACGAAGGCAGCUGGUUAAGUAGAGCCAGAAGGGAGAUGCCGCUCCUGGCGGCUGUGAAUCCGUGUGCAAAGGUACGAAGAUGGCGCCUUGGAUUACUUGCUGGCCCCGAAGAUCUUGACUUGCGUCAGAUAGCAGGACUGGCAGCGGUGUCGGUGAGUCAUUAAAGAUGAGCACUGGUGAAACCACACAUGCGCAGGUCGAGGGAUACAGCCAUGCUCCAAGAAGCGCGAUGAACUGCAUGUAGAAGCAAAAAGGGUUUAGCGGCGACUGCAUGGUUGCCGCUUUCCCGUGCCCACUGAAAGUGGCCGGACGAAGGCAGCUGGUUAAGUAGAGCCAGAAGGGAGAUGCCGCUCCUGGCGGCUGUGAAUCCGUGUGCAAAGGUAUGAAGAUGGCGCCCUGGAUUACUUGCUGGCCCCGAAGAUCUUGACUUGCGUCAGAUAGCAGGACUGGCAGCGGUGUCGGUGAGUCAUUAAAGAUGAGCACUGGUGAAACCGCAUGUGCGCAGGUCGAGGGAUACAGCCAUGCUCCAAGAAGCGCGAUGAACUGCAUGUAGAACCAAAAAGGGUUUAGCGGCGACUGCAUGGUUGCCGCUUUUCCGUGCCCACUCUUCGUUAAUUCGUUAAUGUGAACUCGUUUUCCUUGUCUGCCUGUCUGUAAAUAACUACAGUUCAAAUUGCUGCCAUCCAGCAUCUUUAGUGCCGGGAAUACCGAAGCAGAGAACAGUGCAGCGGCUUAGCAAGAGCCGAGAACGAACUAAAACACCAAGAAA
This 853-nucleotide long non-coding RNA is filed under the name Dermacentor andersoni. Its description in RNAcentral is "uncharacterized LOC126546095". The record is from RNAcentral. Lineage: Eukaryota; Metazoa; Arthropoda; Arachnida; Ixodida; Ixodidae.